AAUACUUCGAAUAUCUCACUUGAAAGCUCUGAAAACAAAGGUACAAGAUGUUCUGCUUCCUCAGAAUAGCCAGGAUCAGAAUGAAAAUGUAGGGAAGAGGAGAGAUUUGUUUAUUCUGAAAUCAAUCUUCAGGGGAAACUGCUGAGAAGAAUUGGAGACCCGCUUACCAGGGGUGAAAUGUACUUACCUUUCCUACCGGUUCACUUUGCUGGGAAGUGGAAAGGUCUCAGCCUCUACAAGCCCACAUCCCAAAACUUCAAAGAAUGGAUGGGCUGCUUCUUGGUAAACUAGGAGUGAUCGUAAUGGAGUUGCUCUGGUACACGACAUUUUGGGGUUUUCUCAAGUGGUACUGCAUUCUUUCUCAUGUCAGCAGAGCCUGAAUUGUUUUAAAGGAAGAGCAAGAUAAUCAUUGAACCCAGUCCAUUCUCUGUCUCUGUCUCUUUGUGUCCUUCUAAAAGUCUAGAAUGUCAAGAUUGCAGAAGAAGCUGCGAGGCAGCCAAGCUUUCAAAGGUGAGGAGCCCAGCCAAAGACUAAGAAGGUCUUCCAAACACAAGAGCAAGACAUUAGGAAGAAUCAGGUUCCAAGAUGGAGUACUAGAAAUAUCUAGAUGACAAGAUGCAGAAGUUCAGUCCUACCCAGAAAAUCAAAAGACCAACCCAGAAACCUUGUUUCCAUGCUUGCUUUUAGAAAUGAGAGUUUAUAAACCUGAACCUCCACUCAGUUACUAAGGGCAUCUGGAAAUUAUUCCUACUUGUGAGUAGGGUCUUGUAAGCUUUUACUUAUGAGGAAGGUUUGGUGGGGGGGAUUGAAAAUUAGCUUGGACCAGUCACCAAGCUCAACUGCAGUCUCCAAACCCAGUGAGGUGGACUCACACAUAAGGAUCUGAAUCUAGAACUUCCCUUGAAAGGAAACUCUAUUAGAGUUAGGGACUUCUGCAAAAUGAUUGCUUUGUGGAAGAUUCUAGGUCCACCAAUAAUGAUUCUCCCAAGAGAAGCAAGAUAAACCUGCUGUUCCCAACAUGAAGAGGAGAAGAUUAUCUGCGAUGGAGUGAGUCAAUGAUGAGCCUUGUAAGAGGUCUUAUAUUUUCCCUUCCUCGUUCCAGAAUUCAGGCAAGGCACUGAAUUCAGGUGAGCAUUCUGGCCAUAUUUCAAUUCAAUUUUCUUCAUCACAGUCCCAACUCACCUACCUAUGCCAUUUUCUAUGUACUGUAUAUGUGUUUUCUCCUUUCAGAAUAGCCAGCUCACACUCUUUCCUCUUAAUAAAUGCUGAAUUUGUACAAUUGUACCUGUAAACUAAACCGAUACUGAAGUGCAUGCUAUAAUUCACUUGAGCCAAUUUGCGGGAAAGAAGAGAAAACAUUGAGAUAUACCUGUAAAAAAAAAUUAGGAGGGAAAAUACACUCAGAGUUAAAUGUAAAUAUUAGAAGAUCACCGCUACGAAACAGU
Molecule: long non-coding RNA, 1445 nt
Organism: Ahaetulla prasina
Lineage: Eukaryota; Metazoa; Chordata; Lepidosauria; Squamata; Colubridae
Exons: 3
Source: RefSeq, a predicted model, not a curated record